UUCUGGCUCAGGAUGAACGCUGGCGGCGUGCUUAACACAUGCAAGUCGAACGGAACUUUCUCCCGAAGAAGCGGAGUGCUUGCACAAAGCAGAUUCAUUGAAAAGUUAGUGGCGGACGGGUGAGUAACGCGUGGGUAACCUGCCUUACACAGGGGGACAACAGUUGGAAACGACUGCUAAUACCGCAUAAGCGCACAGUACCGCAUGGUACAGUGUGAAAAAACUCCGGUGGUGUAAGAUGGACCCGCGUCUGAUUAGCUAGUUGGUGAGGUAACGGCCCACCAAGGCGACGAUCAGUAGCCGGCCUGAGAGGGUGAACGGCCACAUUGGGACUGAGACACGGCCCAGACUCCUACGGGUAGGCAGCAGUGGGGAAUAUUGCACAAUGGGGGAAACCCUGAUGCAGCGACGCCGCGUGAGUGAAGAAGUAUUUCGGUAUGUAAAGCUCUAUCAGCAGGAAAGAAAAUGACGGUACCUGACUAAGAAGCCCCGGCUAACUACGUGCCAGCCGCGGC
This 515-nucleotide ribosomal RNA is filed under the name uncultured bacterium. Its description in RNAcentral is "bacterial SSU rRNA". It matches the Rfam family "Bacterial small subunit ribosomal RNA", at positions 17 to 518 of the family's 1533-position model. The record is from RNAcentral.